This 492-nucleotide ribosomal RNA is filed under the name uncultured bacterium. RNAcentral describes it as "partial 16S ribosomal RNA". It matches the Rfam family "Bacterial small subunit ribosomal RNA", at positions 29 to 507 of the family's 1533-position model. The record is from RNAcentral.
AGUGAACGCUGGCGGUAGGCCUAACACAUGCAAGUCGAACGGCAGCACAGUAAGAGCUUGCUCUUACGGGUGGCGAGUGGCGGACGGGUGAGGGAUACAUCGGAAUCUACUUUUUCGUGGGGGAUAACGUAGGGAAACUUACGCCAAUACCGCAUACGACCUACGGGUGAAAGCAGGGGAUCUUCGGACCUUGCGCGAUCGAAUGAGCCGAUGUCGGAUUAGCUAGUUGGCGGGGUAAAGGCCCACCAAGGCGACGAUCCGUAGCUGGUCUGAGAGGAUGAUCAGCCACACUGGAACUGAGACACGGUCCAGACUCCUACGGGAGGCAGCAGUGGGGAAUAUUGGACAAUGGGCGCAAGCCUGAUCCAGCCAUGCCACGUGGGUGAAGAAGGCCUUCGGGUUGUAAAGCCCUUUUGUUGGGAAAGAAAAGCAGCAGGUUAAUACCCCGCUGUUCUGACGGUACCCAAAGAAUAAGCACCGGCUAACUUCGUG